AGCCUGAAAGCCCAAAAAUCUUUGGCAGGAGGCUGAGACCCGCGUGAGGAGCCCCGAGGGCAGGGCUGUGCGGCUGAGAACCAUUCUCAAGCAGAGGGACAAGAUGAUCAAGGAAGGGAAGUACACGCCGCCCGACCACCACAAGGGCAAAGAGGAGCCGCGGCCUUGAUUCGCGGGGGGAACGUGGCUGUCGGUCGCCCGUAGAGUCAUUGACGGGGAACUCCUCCGGGAAGAAAACCUGCGGCGCAGCCGGGUUACGCUGGAGCGGUGGGGUGGGGUCUGCGUGGGGGGCCCUGCCCCUGCUGAAGGGGGAUGGCACCACGUCGGGCAUCACCUGGGCUAGUAAAUGUCUCCUUCGGAACAGC
This is a long non-coding RNA of Aptenodytes forsteri (emperor penguin), 365 nucleotides long. RefSeq lists it as uncharacterized. Lineage: Eukaryota; Metazoa; Chordata; Aves; Sphenisciformes; Spheniscidae. The record is from RefSeq and is a predicted model, not a curated record. The transcript has 2 exons.